RNAcentral lists this ribosomal RNA (468 nucleotides) under uncultured bacterium. RNAcentral describes it as "partial 16S ribosomal RNA". It matches the Rfam family "Bacterial small subunit ribosomal RNA", at positions 28 to 507 of the family's 1533-position model. The record is from RNAcentral.
GACGAACGCUGGCGGCGUGCUUAACACAUGCAAGUCGAACGGAAAGGCCCUGCUUUUGUGGGGUGCUCGAGUGGCGAACGGGUGAGUAACACGUGAGUAACCUGCCCUUGUCUGUGGGAUAACUUCAGGAAACUCGGGCUAAUACCGGAUAGGAGCUCCUGCUGCAUGGUGGGGGUUGGAAAGAUUCGGCUGUUGGGGCUGGACUCGAGGCUUAUGAGCUUGUUGGUGGGGUAGUGGAAUACCAAGGCUUUGACGGGUAGCCGGCCUGAGAGGGUUGACGGGCACAUUGCGACUGCGAUACGGACCAGACUCCUACGGGACGUAGCAGGCGGGAGUCUUGCACAAUGGGCGGGAGCCUGAUGCGGCAACCCCGCGUGCGGGAAGACGGCCUUCGGGUUGUAAACCGCUUUCGCCUGUGACGAAGCGUGAGUGACGGUAAUUGGUAAAGAAGCACCGGCUAACUACGUG